Molecule: unclassified non-coding RNA, 390 nt
Filed under: soil metagenome
Description: partial contains 5.8S ribosomal RNA, internal transcribed spacer 2, and large subunit ribosomal RNA
Rfam family: 5.8S ribosomal RNA (bases 1-122)
Source: RNAcentral
GAUGAAGAACGUAGCGAAAUGCGAUACUUGGUGUGAAUUGCAGAAUCCCGUGAACCAUCGAGUCUUUGAACGCAAGUUGCGCCCGAAGCCACUAGGCCGAGGGCACGCCUGCCUGGGCGUCACACGCCGUUGCCCCCCAUCUACUCCUUCGGGAUUGCGGGGGGGCGGAUGAUGGCCUCCUGUGCGCCUAGCCGCGCGGUUGGCAUAAAUACCAAGUCCUCGGCGACGCACGCCACGACAAUCGGUGGUUGCGAAACCUCGGUUGCCCGUCGUGUGCGUUCGUCGCGCAUCGAGGGCUCGAAAAAAUGCUCGGCUCCGGCUGGGCUUUCAACGCGACCCCAGGUCAGGCGGGGUUACCCGCUGAAUUUAAGCAUAUCAAUAAGCGGAGGA